ACCACCUUUUUUUUUUAUUAUACAUGUAUAUAUAUGACGGAUAGAGAAGCAGAUACCCCUUCAUUUGGAGGGGAGGGGGUGUUAUAAUUAUGUGAUAUUGACCUGGAAUUUGUACCAGACCGGUAUGUGAAAUAAAAUUCACUUGUUUAGAGGUAAUAUUUCAUAUUUCUUUAAUGGUAAAUAGCGAAAUAUUUUGUAACACCAAAUUGAGGCAAUAAUAAAAUGUAUUGAGAUCAAGAGAUCAAAACCCCCAAAAAAUACUUUGUUGGGGCACUGCAUUGGAGAUGUGGGUGCCCUAUAGUAAUCAUGGUGGCCGUCAGUCUAUCCAUUUACACUUUCGUUUCCGGAAUCCAAAUUUUUUAAAGGACUAAUCGUUUUGAAAUUUAACAUUUUUUAAUUAUUUAUUGUGAUACGUACAUGAAGAUGUGCAAUAGGGGUUUAAAAUGUUCUAAGGUCAAAGUCAAGGUCACUGUUACUAAAAAUAGACCAUGGGUGUUAUAUACUGUCCUUAUCGCAGAUUCCAGAAUGCUAAUCUUUUUUAAAUUAAACAAGGUCAUAGAGUGUGAUAAGCAGAUGUGUAAUAAAUGUUUAAAAAGUUUCUUAGGUCAAGGUCAUCAUUAUUAGAAAUAGACCAUGAUGGUUUAUAGUCAAGCACAUGGUGGGGAAAAUCAUGGAGAAGAAAAGAAAAAGUGUGAGUAUAAAUAUACUAAUUUUAUAAUGCAGCUGCCUAGGAAUACGUGUCACCAUAUGAAUCAACUUUGAUAUUGUUUAUGAUUAUACAGAGUGUUCUACCACGGGCAGAGAGUCCAGGCCAAAUAAAGGAAAUAAAGCAGUCGUUAGGAAAGAAGAAAAAACAAUCUACUUCCACAAUCCAAGUUGGCUGGAUGCAUUUUUUUUAUGGGGAACGUCGCUAUGCCCAGGUGAAAAGCAGUAGGGGUUGCACAACUGGAGGAACAGGAACAUUGUCACUUCCAUCAGAUAGUACCUAUGGCCUAACACUGAACAAGUUAGAGGAGAGGUAUUUUCCAAAUGAAAAGAAUUCAAAGGGAAAAUAAGGAGAAUGGAAACAAAACUUGGCACCAGCAAAGGAGAGGAGAUCCUGGAAACAAGCUUCCCUCUUGAUAACUAUCUGACAAAUGUUGCGUGUACACAAAAACCACGCAUAGAUUUGCUAACAAAGCAAAAGGUAUGUACAAAAACAAUUACAUUUUACACAGGUGGGAUUAAUUAUCAGCCAACUCAUAAUAGUUGCAAAUCAAUGACUAAAUUCAGUGACAAAUGAACAUAUACCGGAUAUGAUAAAUGGUUUUUAUCAAAACUUGAUUGACUGCUAGGAAAGAGUUAUCAUUUUAAAAUGAAAAGUGCUGUAUUUUUUUAUUUAUUUUUUUGUAUCUUGCUCUUUUGUUUUUAAAUAGUUAUGAACUUUGGCUUUUUGCAAACAUCUUAAUUCAAAAAUUCUUUGGUCUCCCUAUGUAAAUCAUAUCAUUAAAAGCACAUAUAUUUUUUAUAGGUUUAUAUGGGUUUGCAAGGCUAUAAUAGAGAGUACUUUGUGAAUUCAAAACUUUCAAGCAAUUAACAUUUCGAACAUACAUAACAUACUAGUACUUCAGGCAAAUUAUUUGCAAACAUUGAUAACCUUUCAACAACAGAUGGUUAUGAAUCUCAAUUAAAUUUUUACACAAUUUUAAUUUUGUAAAUGUUUAUUGAACAAAUAUGCAUACCAUUUUUAUGGUUAUCAAUUCUAUGUGCAACAUACAUUAAGUUACAAAAAUGAAGUACAUGUAUUCAAUUACAACUGAUCAAUUUUAAUAUAAAAAUCAUUGCAUAUUUUGUUUGUUUGUUUUUGACAUUGAGGGCCUCGAGACUGGAUCAUCGGAUUUUGAUGGAUUUGAUUUGCCUGAUCCAUUUGUGGAAUACAGUCAUGUAGCUACGUCGACCUCCACAAAUGUCUUCACUAUGGGCAACGUAACUACACCAGCAUCACAAGUACCGGUAACACCAACCACAACAAUGCCUGUCGUGACACCACCAGUAAGGCCCAUCACAACAAUUUAACUCCUAUCUCUACAAUGUCGGCCCUAACAGUCCCAACAAUACCAGUACAUGUACAGACACCAGCACCAACCUAUGGGCCAAUGCUGGGACAUCAACAGUCUCAAUGAGACUUCCAACAGAUGGGGAUUGUGGAAUCUGCACUGAUAGACAACGGAGUGCCUUCUUGGUGCCAUGACGGCACACGUUUUGCAUGGUAUGUGCAUUGCACCUGGAAUCUACCAGCAGAUUGUGUGCUAUCUGCAGAACAGUUAUUACUAAAGUCAAUCCUUUAUACAACUAACAGUUCUUUGGACAAAAUAACUGUAUGCCUUUUUUGAUUGCAUAAAUUGAAAUGAUACUAAUAGCUACUAGUGACGGGUACAGGCCAGUACUGCACUUACACAAGCUAGGUUGAACGCUUUUUCAGUGAAAUAACUAUUUCUCCUUAUGUUUGAGAGCACUGCUGAUAGCAUCAAUAAGUUUACAUUAUCUCAAUCUGUAUGAAUGGAAAUGGGUAAUAAUGGCACCCAAAUGACAACAGAUGGCCCCGAUUGACUUCUGCAAUGCAUGAGGCGAUUUAACUUCCUGAACAAUGUCUAGUUCGUAAAAUACAAUUUGAACUGUGAACCUUCGAUUUUUAUGCUUGCGAACAUAUUCUAUUAAUUCAGAUCUGGAUUACAUGAUGAUGACUAUAACUCUCAAAAGGCAUAAUUUGAUACACCUGUAAUGGAAAUUUAACGGAAGUGGUGAAUACGUAUUUUUCUAAUGUGAUUGUCUCCAUAUGUUAACAAAAGUAUUACUUUACAUUUCAUUCAUUAACGAAUUUGGGGAACGUGCUGUAUUAAUGUUUUUCAUAAUUUCAUACAUAUAUUAGGGCCCUGCAUCAGAGAUGCGGUUGUCCUAUAGUAAUCGGGUAAACCAGUCCGUCCAGCUUUCCAUCUGAUUUUUUGCGUUUGCAGAAUAUUGAUGGAAAUAAAUGAUCUUUUUUAAAUUAAACACAAUGAUUUCCCUUUGACCUUAGUUCUGCUUGGUAAGUUUUUGGUCUGAUUGGAUUUUAAUCAGCCAUCUUAGAUUUUAGCAUAAACAUUUUCAAAUGUUGUUUCUCUUAACUGGUAAACAUUUUGUUAUGAUAUUAUGAAGCAAAAUUGGUCAAAAUCAAAGAAGAAGUCAAAUGAUCAAGGGUCAUGGUCAUUAUAUCAAAGGUCAAGGUCAUUUUUUAUCGCUUAGCUAGUAAACAUUUUGUUUUGUUACACCUCAAGUGAA
Long non-coding RNA from Mizuhopecten yessoensis (Yesso scallop), 3297 nucleotides. RefSeq lists it as uncharacterized. Lineage: Eukaryota; Metazoa; Mollusca; Bivalvia; Pectinida; Pectinidae. The transcript has 3 exons. The record is from RefSeq and is a predicted model, not a curated record.